GAAGGUGACCUUGUUCGAAAGGCAAUAAAUGGAAAAUAGUGGAGAGGAAGCUGUACGAUAAUAAGGAUCUACCAUCUCACUUCAAAGAUGUCUGACGAGGACAGUGUGCUUAGCAGCAGCCCUGUGUUCUUUUUUGAGAAUGCCCCUGAGUCAACACCACCACCACAAAAUUUGAUUAAUUUGAUGUUCCAUGUUUGAUGUUUGAGUUCCAUUUCAGAUUACUCUGUGGGAUCAAAUGAACGGGCGUGUAUGUACUAACAUAUAACUAUAUUUAGUUAUUAUUAAUUACAAGUAUCUUUUUCAGCUAAUACACGGGUGCCACCGCAGAUUCCUGAAUGUGAGUAAAGUUAUAGGCUUCGAUAUAGUUUAUGAUAAUAAAUGAGAUUCUCUUUCAGAUUAUUGGGGUCCUGUGACACCGCAUUA
Ornithodoros turicata is the source of this 423-nucleotide long non-coding RNA. RefSeq lists it as uncharacterized. The record is from RefSeq and is a predicted model, not a curated record. Lineage: Eukaryota; Metazoa; Arthropoda; Arachnida; Ixodida; Argasidae. The transcript has 3 exons.